This is a long non-coding RNA of Nanorana parkeri, 114 nucleotides long. RefSeq lists it as uncharacterized. Lineage: Eukaryota; Metazoa; Chordata; Amphibia; Anura; Dicroglossidae. The record is from RefSeq and is a predicted model, not a curated record. The transcript has 2 exons.
UACCAACGAUAUGGCUUGCUACAGCGCUGAUUUUAUGGAUUAUACGAAACAAGAGCGUAGUUUGUGGUACUAAGGAUUCCAGCAAUAGCUGUGAGAUGACUCCUGUGACAGACG